Molecule: ribosomal RNA, 504 nt
Filed under: uncultured Burkholderiales bacterium
Lineage: Bacteria; Pseudomonadati; Pseudomonadota; Betaproteobacteria; Burkholderiales
Description: bacterial SSU rRNA
Rfam family: Bacterial small subunit ribosomal RNA
Source: RNAcentral
UGAUCCAGCCAUGCCGCGUGAGUGAUGAAGGCCUUCGGGUUGUAAAGCUCUUUUGUCGGGGAAGAAAUCUUUCGUGCUAAUACCUUGAGAUGAUGACGGUACCUGGACAAUAAGCACCGGCUAACUACGUGCCAGCAGCCGCGGUAAUACGUCUGGUGCAAGCGUUAAUCUGAAUUACUGGGCGUAAAGCGUGCGCAAGCGGUUGUGCAAGACGGGUGUGAAAUCCCCGGGCUUAACCUGGGAACUGCAUUUGAGACUGCAUAGCUUGAGUACGGAAGAGGGGGAUGGAAUUCCGUGUGUAGCAGUGAAAUGCGUAAAUAUGCGGAGGAACACCGAUGGCGAAGGCGAUCCCCUGGACCUGUACUGACGCUCAUGCACAAAAGCGUGGGGAGCAAACAGGAUUAAAUACCCUGGUAGUCCACGCCCUAAACGAUGUCAACUGGUUGUUGGGAAGGUUUCUUCUCUGUAACCUGGGGACGCGUGAAGUUGACCGCCUGGGGAAGG